RNAcentral lists this ribosomal RNA (253 nucleotides) under uncultured bacterium. RNAcentral's name for it is "partial 16S ribosomal RNA". It matches the Rfam family "Bacterial small subunit ribosomal RNA", at positions 524 to 776 of the family's 1533-position model. The record is from RNAcentral.
UACGUAGGGGGCGAGCGUUGUCCGGAUUUAUUGGGCGUAAAGAGCGUGUAGGCGGUUCGGUAAGUCUGUCGUGAAAUCCUGAGGCUCAACCUCGGGCGUGCGAUGGAUACUGCCGGGCUAGAGGGUGGUAGAGGCGAGUGGAAUUCCCGGUGUAGCGGUGAAAUGCGUAGAUAUCUGGAGGAACACCGGUGGCGAAGGCGGCAUCCUGGACCGACACUGACACUGAGGAGCGAAAGCCAGGGGAGCAAACGGG